This 253-nucleotide ribosomal RNA is filed under the name uncultured bacterium. RNAcentral's name for it is "partial 16S ribosomal RNA". It matches the Rfam family "Bacterial small subunit ribosomal RNA", at positions 524 to 776 of the family's 1533-position model. The record is from RNAcentral.
UACGAAGGGGGCUAGCGUUGCUCGGAAUUACUGGGCGUAAAGCGCACGUAGGCGGCUCUUUAAGUCGGGGGUGAAAUCCUGGAGCUCAACUCCAGAACUGCCUUCGAAACUGAGGAGCUCGAGUCCGGGAGAGGUGAGUGGAACUGCGAGUGUAGAGGUGAAAUUCGUAGAUAUUCGGAGGAACACCAGUGGCGAAGGCGGCUCACUGGCUCGGUACUGACGCUGAGGUGCGAAAGCGUGGGGAGCAAACAGG